Molecule: unclassified non-coding RNA, 2337 nt
Filed under: Hevea brasiliensis (rubber tree)
Lineage: Eukaryota; Viridiplantae; Streptophyta; Magnoliopsida; Malpighiales; Euphorbiaceae
Source: RNAcentral
UACCUGCUUUUAAAGUUUCAAGUUCUAGGCCAAAUGAUAGUCCUAUCAUUUAUAUUGCUGAUCUUAUAGAUGUGCACUCAAAUCAGUGGAAUCUGCAGUUAUUACAAGCCUCAUUCCCAGAGCAAGAUUGGAAGGAAAAAAUUAAAAUUCCACUAGCAGUCAAUCCUCAUGAACCAAAAAGAGUUUGGCACUAUACAUCUAACGGGGUCCCUACUGUGAGAUCCGUUUAUUUCUGGUUGAAAAAAUGGCAUCAUGAAGCAUCUCGGCAGUCAUCCCCAUCCUCUUCUAGGUUGGUAAAUCCACAGUUUUGGAAUAUGUUUUGGUCUCUUCCUUUGCCUCCAAAGGUUCGAGUGUUUCUGUGGAGAGCCUGUUCUAAUGCUUUGGCAACUAAAGUGAACUUGUUUCCCUUAUGUUCACUUUGUGGCAUGCAAGAGGAAACAGUAGAGCACCUGAUAUUUUUUUGUGACCAUGCUAGGGCUGUUUGGUUUGGUUCCAGUCUUGGAUUAAUUCCACAAUUACAGGGCUUUAGCUCUUUUACAGACUGGUGGCAACAUUUGUUUGAUGUUUUGUAUUCUAGGGAUUGCGAACAACUUAUUUUGGCAGGAUUGUUAUGUUGGAAUAUUUGAAAAGCGAGGAAUGUGGCUCUUUUUAAAUCUAUUAAGCCUAAUCCUUUGUUUCUCAUUACAAAGGCCCAGAAUGCCGUUGAUGAGAUGCUCUCUUUAGCUACCCAGCAACACCAUUCUGAGCAUAUCCCUAUUGAUGGUAGAAGGGCACCUUUUAAGUGGCAGCCCCCUCCUUUUGCUGUUCUGAAAUGCAAUGUAGAUGCUUCAUUUGUGAAGGAUUCUGCGAUAGCAGGGUAUGGUGUUAUUGUUUGUGAUCAUGUGGGGCAAUUUGUGGAUGGUUGUGCAGCUUCUUUCACUUGUGGUUCCCCUUUAGUAGUUGAGGGAAUUGCUUUGCGAGCAGCACUCCAAUUUGUUAUCUCUAGAAGAUACAAUCAGCUCUCAGCAGAAAACCAUCAUUAAUGCAAUGGCUAUCAAUGAGGAUGGUGUAAUGGUUACAGGAGGUGCGAAUUAUUUUAAUAUAAAUUAAUAAAUAAUUGGUUCAGUAUGAAUCAUCAUCUUAGUUCUACUGGUGUUGUAUGUCUUAAUGUGAUGAUUGGCAUCCACAGCUGACUGUGGGUUACAGGCUGGUAAAGUAAGGUUGAUAUGUAGCGUCAGCCCUAGCAGUGCGAUCAAUGGCCGUAAAAGCAUGAACUUGCCCCUCUAUACCUUAUUAACAACUGAAUCACUCAGUUGGGGUCUUGCUGGUCUGUACUGUCAAUUUUUAGGCUGAUCCAAAAAGAACAUUUGGCCUAAGUUUGUUUCAGUUUUGUUUGAUUGGACUGGAGGAGCAUAGAUAUAUUUUGACUUAGUAACUUUUUGCCAUUGUUUGCCCUUCGUGUUAUUUUAGGUGAUAAUGGGAGUAUAUGGUUCUGGGAUUGGAGGAGUGGUCAUAAUUUCCAGCAAGCACAAACGACUGUGCAGCCUGGCAUGCCCUUUUUCCCUCCCCAUCUUUACCCUUUUAUUUUACUGGGGAAUGAAAAGGUUGACAAUGAUGGGUAUUUUGCUCCAGGCUUAUUGGAUAGUGAAGCCAGUAUUUAUGCUCUCUCGUAUGAUAUAACUGGCUCAAGGCUUGUUACAUGCGAGGCUGACAAGACUACUAAAAUGUGGAAAGAAGAUGAAACUGCAACCCCAGAAACUCAUCCCCUCAACUUUAAGCCUCCAAAAGAUAUCAGGUGGUUCUAGCGGUCAUGGUGCUGCUUUUGUUUUUCGCAGGUUGGCAACAGAUCAUAUGAAUUCAUGGUAAAUGUAAUUGGGGGUUCAUUCGCAUCAGUGUACCAGAAUGAACACGGGGUUUAACACGACUUUCUCAACAUUGAUAGUGCAGUCUCAGAUCAAGUUCUUAAGCGUUCAAUCUUUUUUCUGUACAAGCACAUAGCAUGACCUAUCAAAUACGAAGCAUUUUGUGAUCUUGAAGCUAACGUUAAUUCUUACAUCACCUUGCAUGAAAGCCCAAAUUCAGGAACGAGAGAGCAUUAGUUGUUCCCAAGAAUUUCUGUAUUCGUAUAUUGAUGGAUCAAGUAAUGUGAUUAUUUGUAAUCCCUGUAUAUGAUAUUUAACUCGGUGGAUAGUCCAACUCAUACGGUGCUGCCUUCAACAUUUCUGCUUUGAGGACUUCACUCAUAGAAAAUGUCCAUGUAACCUUACCGAGCAAGUUCCAACAGAAAAGUUUAGAAAAACAAAUGAAGUAACUUCGGAAUGGAUUCGAAUCAUUAAAUAUGUAUGAUUAAUCGUUAAG